Molecule: ribosomal RNA, 368 nt
Filed under: uncultured organism
Description: bacterial SSU rRNA
Rfam family: Bacterial small subunit ribosomal RNA
Source: RNAcentral
CGUAGGUGGCAAGCGUUGUCCGGAUUUAUUGGGUUUAAAGGGUGCGUAGGCGGCUUUGUAAGUCAGUGGUGAAAUAUGGCAGCUCAACUGUCAGGGUGCCAUUGAUACUGCAGAGCUUGAGUACAGAUGAGGUAGGCGGAAUUGACGGUGUAGCGGUGAAAUGCUUAGAUAUCGUCAAGAACACCGAUAGCGAAGGCAGCUUACUAGGCUGUAACUGACGCUGAGGCACGAAAGUGUGGGGAUCAAACAGGAUUAGAUACCCUGGUAGUCCACACUGUAAACGUUGAUGACUCGCUGUUGGCGAUACACGGCCAGCGGCAGAGAGAAAUCGUUAAGUCAUCCACCUGGGGAGUACGCCGGCAACGGUG